RNAcentral lists this ribosomal RNA (405 nucleotides) under uncultured bacterium. RNAcentral describes it as "partial 16S ribosomal RNA". It matches the Rfam family "Bacterial small subunit ribosomal RNA", at positions 30 to 526 of the family's 1533-position model. The record is from RNAcentral.
AUUGAACGCUAGCGGGAUGCUUUACACAUGCAAGUCGAACGAGUGGCGGACGGGUGAGUAAUAUAUCGGAACGUGCCCAGUAGCGGGGGAUAACUACUCGAAAGGGUGGCUAAUACCGCAUACCAUCGGAGCGGCCCAUAUCGGAUUAGCUAGUUGGUGGGGUAAAGGCUCACCAAGGCAACGAUCCGUAGCUGGUUUGAGAGGACGACCAGCCACACUGGGACUGAGACACGGCCCAGACUCCUACGGGAGGCAGCAGUGGGGAAUUUUGAACAAUGGGGGAAACCCUGAUGCAGCCAUGCCGCGUGUAUGAGAAGGCCUUCGGGUUGUAAAGUACUUUUGGCAGAGAGGCGGUAUCUGCAGAAGAAGCACCGGCUAACUACGUGCCAGCAGCCGCGGUAAUUC